CGUGCACUGGUGGGGUCCCUCAGCCUGGCCUGUGGGAUCAGGCCAAAACCAGAUCUAUGACACCCCCCGAGGCAUCCCGGAUUGUGAGAGGGCUCAGGCCAGGCUGAGGGACCUCACCGGUGCACG
Molecule: microRNA precursor, 126 nt
Filed under: Myotis lucifugus (little brown bat)
Lineage: Eukaryota; Metazoa; Chordata; Mammalia; Chiroptera; Vespertilionidae
Description: mir-9193 microRNA precursor family
Source: Rfam by way of RNAcentral